GAUGAAGAACGUAGCAAAAUGCGAUACUUGGUGUGAAUUGCAGAAUCCCGUGAACCAUCGAGUUUUUGAACGCAAGUUGCGCCCGAAGCCUUUUGGCCGAGGGCACGUCUGCCUGGGCGUCACGCAUCGCGUCGCCCCCCACAAUUCUCCGUAAAAGGAACAUGUGUUUUGGGGGCGGAUAUUGGUCUCCCGUGCUCAUGGCGUGGUUGGCCGAAAUAGGAGUCCUUUCGAUGGACGCACGAACUAGUGGUGGUCGUAAAAGCCCUCGUCUUUUGUUUCGUGCUGUUGCUCGCAAGGUAAACUCUUUAAAAACCCCAAUGUGUCGUCUCUUGACGACGCUUCGACCGCGACCCCAGGUCAGGCGGGACUACCCGCUGAGUUUAAGCAUAUCAAUAAGCGGAGGA
Molecule: unclassified non-coding RNA, 404 nt
Filed under: soil metagenome
Description: partial contains 5.8S ribosomal RNA, internal transcribed spacer 2, and large subunit ribosomal RNA
Rfam family: 5.8S ribosomal RNA (bases 1-122)
Source: RNAcentral